UUUCUUAUAUAAUAUAAUCGUUAAAUAGUCGUUGCUAUACGAGUAUUUGCCGACUAACAUAUUUAGUCGUAAAAUAACGACUAAUUGACUACUAAUGUUCAUGUUGUCGUAUAUGCGUCGUAAAACGGUCGUGACGUAGUCGCCAAAAACGACGACUACAUCUGUUGUCGCUUUCUGUAGUCGUUGUUUGUCUGUUUUCUUGUAGUGUAUAAACUGCCUCUUAGGGUUUUCCCGAGGGCAUCCGCUAUUAUCCGUUAUUAUCUCGCUUUUACAUUUUCGCAACUUUUAUAGCCGCAGUGUUUCUCCUGCAACUUUGUAUUUUCACUUUCAAAUAUUUGAUAUUCAGUUUUCGUUUAAGUCUUUCGUCAUUUCUGUUAUCAUGUUUUUAAUCGUUGCUUUGCUAUUGUCUUUGAUUAUGUCUGAGUAGUGAACUGUAUUUCUGAGGAUGGGAUAGAAUAGUUGUGGUUUACUUGGUCGUUUUAGGUGGUUGAGUUUAGAAUACUAGAAUCCCUUCUGGAUUAGUUGCGCUUAUUGCUUGUUUCACUGGCUAAUGUGGAGUAUGAGUCCAGACGUCCAGCGCUCAGGAGGCGUUUAAUGGGCGUUGGAUCCUAUUAAUUCCAGAGAUAUCUAC
RNAcentral lists this small RNA (631 nucleotides) under Arabidopsis thaliana (thale cress). RNAcentral's name for it is "ATSL157840". Lineage: Eukaryota; Viridiplantae; Streptophyta; Magnoliopsida; Brassicales; Brassicaceae. The record is from RNAcentral.